GACGAACGCUGGCGGCGUGCCUAAUACAUGCAAGUAGAACGCUGAAGCGAGGAGCUUGCUCUUCUUGGAUGAGUUGCGAACGGGUGAGUAACGCGUAGGUAACCUGCCUUGUAGCGGGGGAUAACUAUUGGAAACGAUAGCUAAUACCGCAUAACAAUGGAUGACCCAUGUCAUUUAUUUGAAAGGGGCAAAUGCUCCACUACAAGAUGGACCUGCGUUGUAUUAGCUAGUAGGUGAGGUAACGGCUCACCUAGGCGACGAUACAUAGCCGGCCUGAGAGGGUGAUCGGCCACACUGGGACUGAGACACGGCCCAGACUCCUACGGGAGGCAGCAGUAGGGAAUCUUCGGCAAUGGGGGCAACCCUGACCGAGCAACGCCGCGUGAGUGAAGAAGGUUUUCGGAUCGUAAAGCUCUGUUGUAAGUCAAGAACGAGUGUGAGAGUGGAAAGUUCACACUGUGACGGUAGCUUACCAGAAAGGGACGGCUAACUACGU
RNAcentral lists this ribosomal RNA (496 nucleotides) under uncultured bacterium. RNAcentral's name for it is "partial 16S ribosomal RNA". It matches the Rfam family "Bacterial small subunit ribosomal RNA", at positions 28 to 506 of the family's 1533-position model. The record is from RNAcentral.